Long non-coding RNA from Gasterosteus aculeatus aculeatus (three-spined stickleback), 3055 nucleotides. The record is from Ensembl. NCBI's taxonomy places the organism in Eukaryota, Metazoa, Chordata, Actinopteri, Perciformes, Gasterosteidae.
AUUACUAUGAGGGUCUCUCGUCCGUACUGCGAAGGCUUUAAAAACUAUUUGUUCAAUAGUCGGAAAACAAUGGAGUCAUUUAACAAGUUCCUUUUUAAUCCACAUCCAUAUUGUCUGCGACUGAUUACAUAGUUGUGUGUUAGUUGUACAGUGUUUUACCUGCAUUGAUGAAGUAAACUAAACAUGUCUAACCAGAACUGUCCAUCAUCUGUUCAAUGCUUAUGUUCGCGUUCCGUGUGCACGCUGCGGGACACCGUACUCAAGGUGUGCGUGCGUGGCGAAGUCGGUUGUUCCACAAAGCCCUUUAUUCCAUUCCUUCUUUACGGGUUUGUGAAUGUUUUUAUUAUUCAUUCCUGAUGGAAUGAAUUCAUCUUACAUCUGGACACAUCUGGCAGUUUUACUGUUAGCGAGGAGACACCCAAGUCUCUGGUCUCCGAUCCGUGAGAUGCUGUGUCUCUAUCACUCGUCCCCCCAGGUAAGACUUGUGGGUGAGGAGUCAGCAGAGAGUCCAUAGAGCAGGUAAUAAAAGGUGUUCUGACAAAGCGUGAGAGGUCCUUCAGGAAUCAGGAAUCAGGAAACAUUUAUUUGCCAAAAUAUGCCAAACAUACAAGGAAUUUGUCUUGGCGGUUAGUGGGCGACAGUAGACAGACAAGACAACAGUGCACAAGUAAUAAAAUAAAGUGGAAUUAAAUGCUCAGCAAACGUAAUUAACAACAAAAGCAACAAAAACAAAGUGCACCGAAGCACCGUGGCGGCCAUCAACGGCGCCAUCUUGGUGAGCAAGAUUCAGCCUGAGGAGAUGUUAGUGGACAGACAACAAGGUUCACACUCACUCGCAAAAAACCAACACACAUCACAGUUUGAAGAAAAGGCAUCUUGGUGUAGAUCUUAACCAAACAUCUACACCAGCUGUAGAUACCGAUUUCCCUGGUGCGUGUUUAUGCUCAAACAUGCUCUCCGUUGUUCUCUUCCACAACUUCUUCCAGUCGUGUUAACAGCUCUGCCGGUUCAAGCUUUUCCCUCCACAGAAACCUGGAUUUACAUUUCUCGAUCAUCUCUUUUAAGGGCGGAUGUUGCAAACAUCUUCUCAUGAACGCUGAGCUCUGCUCUCUGGGUGUUGAUAACAGAACCAGUGAAUGAUCAAAUGAUCGGUCCAGGAUCAGAGAGGCGCCUGCAUGCUUCACACAGGCUGUGAUUGGAUGUCCAGGAAAGCAGCAGAUCUGGAGUGUUGAUCAGAACCACUUCUUUCUCCUUCAGCCAUCCUCUUUGUUUUAAACAGUCCGGUUCUUCCUCAGACUUGAACUGAUUGAAGUGAAGACACUCGGCCAGGAUGAAGUUCCCCACCGAGCUCCUCUCAGACCAGCUGCUCCCCAGCAGAACGACCCUCAGCCCGGACACUGAGAAGAAGACGACGCUGUGUGAAGGUGGAUCCAAGCGAACACUGUACUCACAUCACGGCAAACAUAAGUUACACUCACGGUUUGGUGGCAGCAUUUCAUAACUGCUGCUCCGCUUCACAGGCCGAAGAUCAGCAGCUUCUGAAGGAGCAUUGAUUUAUUCACACGUUAUCUUCAAGUCCUUUUCAUCACUCAGUUCUAUUGAUGUUUUCUGAGGGUCUCAUUAAUCUCAGAUGAAGCCGUCAAUAUGUGGCUGAAGUGAUAUGAUAAAACCAUCGCGUCACACCUUCAGGAACUACGGCCAUUUUGACGCAGUCACAGAUCCUCAAUUCUGCUUUUCAAUUAAGAGGAACGAGCUCGUCGGUACUGGAUGUUGGAAUUUACAAACCCGUUCAAAAAACACUGGGACCGGGCCUUUCCUCUGAAGCACAGCACUCAGGUCAGCCCCCCGGAGGUUAACCCUAACCCUAACCCCUGACUGAGACCACCAGGGCAAGAAGAACUGAGAUAACGCAGACGAGCUAAAGACUCUAUGAAGAGACCAACAGCAGGUCGGCUGUGCUGAUUACACAAAAUAAAAUAAACUGGCAUGCGCUGAUAAAAAGACAACCCUCAGUUUCAAUCACAAGAACAUCUGAUCCAAUCAAAUUAACUAAAUCAAGGAAAAUAAAAGUCUGACAAUGAUAACGAUGUUUUACAAAAAAAAAAAGGUAGUGAAUGAACAUUUUCAUCUUAAAUCUCUACCAGACGACAUAUUCGCUGAAAGCAAAGCUAUUUGUCACCACUGCGAACUAGUAUCUCAUCACCAGAGUACUACGAGCCUGAAGUACUACCAGCCUGAAGUACUACAAGCCUGAAGUACUACCAGCCUGAAGUACUACGAGCCUGAAGUACUACCAGCCUAAAGUACUACCAGCCGGAAGUACUACCAGCCUGAAGUACUACCAGCCUGAAGUACCACUUAAAGUGACGUGAGUCACGUGUUCUGUUGAAGACGACCUGCAGAGUCACGUCUUUGUGUGUGGAAGUCGCUGGUGGCUUUAUUUAUUGAUCAUAGACUUUAUUGCCCCGUGCAUCCACACUGCUGCUUUCCAUCACGGACACAUUUGUCCCGUAUUUUCCUCCACGACUUUGUUCCCUCGUUUGUGGAGAUCUCCCUCCAUGAAUCAGAGGCCGUCCGGCGUCCUCAUAGUCCGCCAAUGACGGCUUGUACAAGCGCUCAUAUUUACGCGUUUUCAGGGCGCGACCGACGCUGCUGCAGCUUUAAUUGUUAAAUGAAACCUAAACUUUUUUUAGGCCAACAAAUGCUCCAAUAAUAGAAAUUAGGACAAUAUUUCUGACUUGGUUUGGUAUAUUUACCUUUACUGAUACUCUUGCCGUCACACACGGUGCGUCUGCCAGCUGCCAACAUCACUCCAGUCACCACCGCCGGCACGGCAAAUGCCACCGCCGCUCCCACUGCCGCUCCCAAUGCUCCGCCCGCCGCCCCGAUCGCCGCAAAUGCCAAUGCUCCGGCCGCCCCCGCUUCGCCUGCCCCGAACGCCGCUCCUGCCAAUGCUCCGGCCGCCACCGAUUCGGCUGCCACUCUGGCUGGUCCCCUGACCGCAGCUUCAACAGGCACGGGAUGCCGCGCCCGCCCGCCACCGCCGCCGCCACUU